GACGAACGCUGGCGGCGUGCCUAAUACAUGCAAGUUGAGCGAUGAAGAUUGGUGCUUGCACCAAUUUGAAGAGCAGCGAACGGGUGAGUAACGCGUGGGGAAUCUGCCUUUAAGCGGGGGACAACAUUUGGAAACGAAUGCUAAUACCGCAUAACAACUUUAAACAUAAGUUUUAAGUUUGAAAGAUGCAAUUGCAUCACUCAAAGAUGAUCCCGCGUUGUAUUAGCUAGUUGGUGAGGUAAAGGCUCACCAAGGCGAUGAUACAUAGCCGACCUGAGAGGGUGAUCGGCCACAUUGGGACUGAGACACGGCCCAAACUCCUACGGGAGGCAGCAGUAGGGAAUCUUCGGCAAUGGACGAAAGUCUGACCGAGCAACGCCGCGUGAGUGAAGAAGGUUUUCGGAUCGUAAAACUCUGUUGGUAGAGAAGAACGUUGGUGAGAGUGGAAAGCUCAUCAAGUGACGGUAACUACCCAGAAAGGGACGGCUAACUACGUG
RNAcentral lists this ribosomal RNA (497 nucleotides) under uncultured bacterium. RNAcentral describes it as "partial 16S ribosomal RNA". It matches the Rfam family "Bacterial small subunit ribosomal RNA", at positions 28 to 507 of the family's 1533-position model. The record is from RNAcentral.